CUUAACCAACAAUGCAGUUUUAAGAAAAUGAGUGUCAAGGGCUUGUAAGUAAGCAUUUCACUGUAAGGUUUACACAUGUUGUAAGUAAGCAUUUCACUGUAAGGUUUACACAUGUUGUAUUUGGCGCAUGUGAAAAAAAUAACAUUUGAUUUGACACAGGAGAGAGACACCUCACACUUGUUGCAGCUCCAUUCAAUAACCAGUUAUUAUUGCUCCUUUUACCAAGAAACAUUCAAACUCUGCGGGGACAAAAUGAAUCGAGAGGAGGGAGUGUUGAUGGAUGAAAUUGAAAAGAGUUUAUGGAAUUUGACUGAGGACAAUUUACGUUACCUGUGUGAACAUCAUGGACAUGAUGGAUCUGAACUUAAAGCAAUGGAUCACCGCUCGUUGCGGCGUAAAAUCAUGGAGGAAAUGUGGGACAAUACUGAUUCAAUUAAAUUAAAGGAGCAGGGAACGUCUUGGUUACACCAACUGAAAGAGGACAUCCGAAGGAUACUGGAGGAUGCUAGCAGUGCACCCUCGAGUCCCCUCCAGGCUGAGGAUGCGAGCAGUGAACCCUCGAGUCCCCUCCAGGCUGAGGAUGCUAGCAGUGCCCCCUCGAGUCCCCUCCAGGCUGAGGAUGCUGUAGACUGUGAUGAAGAGUGGAGCGGAGAGGGAGGGGCUGGGUUACCUAGCGACGGGUUGGAGGCGGAGUCCAUGAGUCCCAGACAAUCCAACGACGCUGCAGACUGG
Molecule: long non-coding RNA, 732 nt
Organism: Oncorhynchus tshawytscha (Chinook salmon)
Lineage: Eukaryota; Metazoa; Chordata; Actinopteri; Salmoniformes; Salmonidae
Source: Ensembl